CAGGGCAGAGGGCACAGGAAUCUGA
RNAcentral lists this microRNA (25 nucleotides) under Homo sapiens (human). Its description in RNAcentral is "hsa-miR-6735-5p". The record is from miRBase by way of RNAcentral. Lineage: Eukaryota; Metazoa; Chordata; Mammalia; Primates; Hominidae.